GCCCAGGUGGCGAAAUUGGUAGACGCACCAUCUUGAGGGGGUGGCAUCCGAAUGGAUGUGUGAGUUCGAAUCUCAUCCUGGGUA
Molecule: transfer RNA, 84 nt
Filed under: Mucilaginibacter dorajii
Lineage: Bacteria; Pseudomonadati; Bacteroidota; Sphingobacteriia; Sphingobacteriales; Sphingobacteriaceae
Also listed under: 1 other name
Description: tRNA-Leu
Rfam family: tRNA
About the family: Transfer RNA (tRNA) molecules are approximately 80 nucleotides in length.
Source: RNAcentral